GGACUACAAGGGUUUCUAAUCCUGUUUGCUCCCCUUGCUUUCGUGCCUCAGCGUCCAGAGUAGGCUAGAAAACCGCUUUCGCCACAGGUGUUCUUCCACAUAUCUACGCAUUUCACCGCUACACGUGGAAUUCCGUUUUCUCCGCCAUUCUGCUAGAUGGGCAGUUUCAGAUGCAGCUCCGGGGUUGAGCCCCGGAAUUUCACGUCUGACUUACCUAUCCGCCUACGCACCCUUUACGCCCAGUCAUUCCGAUUAACGCUUGCACCCUCCGUAUUACCGCGGCUGCUGGCAC
Molecule: ribosomal RNA, 292 nt
Filed under: uncultured bacterium
Lineage: Bacteria
Description: partial 16S ribosomal RNA
Source: RNAcentral